Molecule: long non-coding RNA, 711 nt
Organism: Hirundo rustica (Barn swallow)
Lineage: Eukaryota; Metazoa; Chordata; Aves; Passeriformes; Hirundinidae
Exons: 4
Source: RefSeq, a predicted model, not a curated record
AGUUAGAGUGUCCCAGGAGCAACUGUGGAGCAGCUCUGUCUUAGGACAUCCUCCGGCAUGCCCUAAACCACCAGAGAUCUGGGAAUGUGUUUGCUCCAAAACAGAAAGGGGGAUUAAUCUUGAGGCUAAAAUAAACCCCAGGCUCUUGUGGCUAAUAUGUUAUUCCUCAAUGCUAGAACUGUUCCAGGCAAGCUUUUUAUAUGGAUUUGAAAUGAUCUUCUAAGAGGCCCAGCUAUGUUGUGAAGAUGAUACAGACAGAGACGAAACUGUUAUGGAGGAUUUGGAAUGGAACAAGCAUGCUAAUGAGCCUAUGCAAAAAUGCAUCUAUUAGCCAGAUGGCUGCAUUUGUGGACAUUCCACUGAAAUAGAUGCCUGUGGUCCAAAACCUCCUUCUGCCACCACAUUAAAUACCUGACAAAACAAGUCAUUAUACUGUAUACCAAUAAUGUAGACCUUCAGCUUCUACUGCAUUAAAAUUAAACAGAUUUCAGUAUGAGUUACCUGUACCCUUUCUGGGCUGCAGCUGUCCAAAAGAACUUUCAGAAGUUUUGUUGAAGAGCAGUCUUCUACUGUAAUGGUACUAAUAGACAAGAAAAAAUGUUUCCCUAAAGCAACACCCCCCACCAUCAAUAUUUAUUGCUGUGUCUGCUCUCUAGCAUUUAGGAUUUUAAAGUUAUGCAGUUUUAUGAGAUGUUGUUAAAGGUAAUAUUA